Non-coding RNA from Marasmius tenuissimus, 95 nucleotides. The record is from the annotation of a GenBank genome assembly. Lineage: Eukaryota; Fungi; Basidiomycota; Agaricomycetes; Agaricales; Marasmiaceae.
GCCCGCCUAGCUCAAUCGGAUAGAGCGUCAGACUCUUAUAGUGAUGAUGGCAUUGGGUGAUCUGAAGGCUGCGAGUUCGACCCUUGCAGUGGGCU